CAUGCUCGUCGCUCGAGUUCUCGUUGAUUGACGUGCUUGCACUGAUUUCAACAUUGGAACGAGUGGCGAACUGGUGAGUAACACGUGGAAAACCUGCCCAGAAGCAGGGGAUAACACUUGGAAACAGGUGCUAAUACCGUAUAACAACAAAAACCGCAUGGUUUUUGUUUGAAAGGUGGCUUCGGCUAUCACUUCUGGAUGGUUCCGCGGCGCAUUAGCUUGUUGGUGAGGUAACGGCUCACCAAGGCGAUGAUGCGUAGCCGACCUGAGAGGGUAAUCGGCCACAUUGGGACUGAGACACGGCCCAGACUCCUACGGGAGGCAGCAGUAGGGAAUCUUCCACAAUGGACGCAAGUCUGAUGGAGCAAUGCCGCGUGAGUGAAGAAGGGUUUCGGCUCGUAAAACUCUGUUGUUGAAGAAGAACGGGUGUCAGAGUAACUGUUGACAUCGUGACGGUAUUCAACCAGAAAGCCACGGCUAACUACGUGCCAGCAGCCGCGGUAAUACGUAGGUGGCAAGCGUUGUCCGGAUUUAUUGGGCGUAAAGCGAGCGCAGGCGGUUAUUUAAGUCUGAUGUGAAAGCCUUCGGCUUAACCGAAGAAGUGCAUCGGAAACUGGGUAACUUGAGUGCAGAAGAGGACAGUGGAACUCCAUGUGUAGCGGUGGAAUGCGUAGAUAUAUGGAAGAACACCAGUGGCGAAGGCGGCUGUCUAGUCUGUAACUGACGCUGAGGCUCGAAAGCAUGGGUAGCGAACAGGAUUAGAUACCCUGGUAGUCCAUGCCGUAAACGAUGAGUGCUAGGUGUUGGAGGGUUUCCGCCCUUCAGUGCCGCAGCUAACGCAUUAAGCACUCCGCCUGGGGAGUACGACCGC
This 871-nucleotide ribosomal RNA is filed under the name Levilactobacillus namurensis. Its description in RNAcentral is "bacterial SSU rRNA". It matches the Rfam family "Bacterial small subunit ribosomal RNA", at positions 54 to 889 of the family's 1533-position model. Lineage: Bacteria; Bacillati; Bacillota; Bacilli; Lactobacillales; Lactobacillaceae. The record is from RNAcentral.